RNAcentral lists this ribosomal RNA (253 nucleotides) under uncultured bacterium. Its description in RNAcentral is "partial 16S ribosomal RNA". It matches the Rfam family "Bacterial small subunit ribosomal RNA", at positions 524 to 776 of the family's 1533-position model. The record is from RNAcentral.
UACGUAGGCAGCGAGCGUUGUUCGGAGUUACUGGGCGUAAAGGGUGUGUAGGCGGUUCUCUAAGUUUGGUGUGAAAUCUCCCGGCUCAACCGGGAGGGUGCGCCGAAAACUGGGGGACUCGAGUGCGGGAUGGGAGAGUAGAAUUCCUGGUGUAGCGGUGAAAUGCGUAGAUAUCAGGAAGAACACCCGUGGCGAAAGCGGCUCUCUAGAACGGUACUGACGCUGAGACGCGAAAGCGUGGGGAGCGAACAGG